Molecule: ribosomal RNA, 502 nt
Filed under: uncultured eukaryote
Lineage: Eukaryota
Description: SSU rRNA
Rfam family: Eukaryotic small subunit ribosomal RNA
Source: RNAcentral
GGCAGUCACGGGUAACGGAGAAUUAGGGUUCGAUUCCGGAGAGGGAGCCUGAGAAACGGCUACCACAUCUACGGAAGGCAGCAGGCGCGUAAAUUACCCAAUCCUGAUUCAGGGAGGUAGUGACAAGAAAUAACAAACUCGGGGGCCUCACGGCUUACGAGAUUGCAAUGAGAACAAUUUUAAAUCUCUUAGCGAGGAACAAUUGGAGGGCAAGUCUGGUGCCAGCAGCCGCGGUAAUUCCAGCUCCAAUAGCGUAUAUUAAAGUUGUUGCAGUUAAAAAGCUCGUAGUUGAAUUUCUGAUUAUGGAUGUAGCGGUUUCCGUUACAUUUGUAGUCAUCCACAUGAGAACCUUUCUCGGCCUUCACUGGUCGGUUGGGGGAUCAUGUACUUUACUUUGAAAAAAUCAGAGUGUUUCAGGCAGGCGUUUGCAUGAAUACACAAGCAUGGAAUAAUGGAAUAGGACUGGGGUCCAUUUUAUUGGUUAUUGGACCAUAGUAAUGAU